Long non-coding RNA from Gasterosteus aculeatus aculeatus (three-spined stickleback), 307 nucleotides. NCBI's taxonomy places the organism in Eukaryota, Metazoa, Chordata, Actinopteri, Perciformes, Gasterosteidae. The record is from Ensembl.
GGAGCAUUCAUUUGCUUCCUUCAUCCCUUGUGAAGAUAUUGCUAUAAAAUGCACAAAGGCAUUACGUUGCGAGCGAGACGCUGCGGUGCAGGUUUCGUGAGAAAAGAGGGCGACCAGAGGGAAAGAGACGGAACAUCAAAAUGCAAGAUCACAUCCAGCCUGUGGGCCUCGGCGUCAGGCGGGACGUGUUUCUGAGCAGAAGACAUCCGCCGCCGGCGGACGGGAAUGUAUGACGUAGAAGGAAAGGCGCUGAGCGGGGAAGCUACGCAUGCUUUGCAUUUCUUGAGGAGCGACACACAUCUUGAUA